AAGAAGCUACUGCUGCUGCCAUUCUGCAUUGGGAAGCUCAUCAAACACAUCAUGGGUAUUAUAGGACUUGCCACAUUGGUCUUUGCUAGCUUCAAUGCCUGGAAUGCAAACUUCGGGUCCCUUGUUAGUAGAAAGAUGCACAGAUGCGGCUCUGUUGACUCAGUUGUUUAAAUACAUAUUGUCAAACAAAAUAUUUGCAGCACUGAUGCCAAGUUCCUCCUGACAUUCACAAUAAUAUUGAAUUUGACUCAACCAAACAAGUGUGACAAUAUGUGGAAUAAAAUUUCAUCUAGGUUUUUA
This 300-nucleotide long non-coding RNA is filed under the name Pan troglodytes (chimpanzee). RNAcentral describes it as "lincRNA". Lineage: Eukaryota; Metazoa; Chordata; Mammalia; Primates; Hominidae. The record is from RNAcentral.